This is a long non-coding RNA of Rosa rugosa (rugosa rose), 725 nucleotides long. RefSeq lists it as uncharacterized. The record is from RefSeq and is a predicted model, not a curated record. The transcript is spliced from 4 exons. NCBI's taxonomy places the organism in Eukaryota, Viridiplantae, Streptophyta, Magnoliopsida, Rosales, Rosaceae.
GCUAUAAAUACAUAAUUUGUAAGCAGUAAUCUUACAACAUCUCCAUUAUCUCUCAAUUUUCCAACUUUUUCUUUACAGAUAUGAAAAAGUUCGACACUUGGAUACUCAUAUUGGUCAACCUCAGUUUAGUCCUCCUACGUUUCUAUCUAUUCUUGUGCUGCAUGAAGUGACUCCAGUCGGAUAUCUUAUUGCACCGCCAGAAGGAAACCAAUUGGACCUCAGAGUGAUUGGAAGCUGAAUAAUAAUAUCCAUGUAUCCAAGAAGGAGCACAAAAGCAAAAAAAUUCAGCCAGGAAUCUCUGAUAUAGUUGAAUUGCUGGAUGCUUACAGAGGUUAAAAAGCUCAGAGAAGCAGGUUGGGAACAUUUAUUUAAUUUGAGAAGUAUACAAUGUUUGGGGACAAAGUCAAUUGUUGUGGUAUUUCAAUAAACUACAGAAUAUUUGCUUUUGAUUAGGAAACAUCAUUUGAUUACUGUUGGGCAGAUGAUGGUGCUGUGAUCAUUUGCUUCACUUCUGGGAAAAGAUAUCCUGGAAAUCAACCAUCCCGAAAGUUCUUUCGGCAUAAAGACCAGAGUGAUAUGAAAUUUUAGUAAAUUUAGAUUCUGUAUAAAAUUUAGGAAAAUCAAACAGAAACUGGCAGCAUCGCAUGGGCAAGCUACCUAGUUUUAGCUUAGGUUUAAAUAUUAGUGCAUUUUUGUAUCUGUAUAAUUAUACCUCAAAUAUUAUC